GACGAACGCUGGCGGCGUGCUUAACACAUGCAAGUCGAACGGAAAGGCCCUGCUUUUGUGGGGUGCUCGAGUGGCGAACGGGUGAGUAACACGUGAGUAACCUGCCCUUGACUUUGGGAUAACUUCAGGAAACUGGGGCUAAUACCGGAUAGGAGCUCCUGCUGCAUGGUGGGGGUUGGAAAGUGUCGGCGGUUGGGGAUGGACUAGCGGCUUAUCAGCUGGUUGGUGGGGUAGUGGCUUACCAAGGCUUUGACGGGUAGCCGGCCUGAGAGGGUGACCGGCCACAUUGGGACUGCGAUACGGCCCAGACUCCUACGGGAGGCAGCAGUGGGGAAUAUUGCACAAUGGGCGGAAGCCUGAUGCAGCAACGCCGCGUGCGGGAUGCCGGCCUUCGGGUUGUAAACCGCUUUCGCCUGUGACGAAGCGUGAGUGACGGUAAUGGGUAAAGAAGCACCGGCUAACUACGUG
Molecule: ribosomal RNA, 468 nt
Filed under: uncultured bacterium
Lineage: Bacteria
Description: partial 16S ribosomal RNA
Rfam family: Bacterial small subunit ribosomal RNA
Source: RNAcentral